This 542-nucleotide ribosomal RNA is filed under the name uncultured bacterium. RNAcentral's name for it is "bacterial SSU rRNA". It matches the Rfam family "Bacterial small subunit ribosomal RNA", at positions 8 to 526 of the family's 1533-position model. The record is from RNAcentral.
AGAGUUUGAUCAUGGCUCAGAAUGAACGCUGGCGGCGUGCCUAACACAUGCAAGUCGCACGAGAAAUCCGAGCUUCAGUUUUACUGGAGCAGGGAGAGUAAAGUGGCGCACGGGUGAGUAACGCGUGGGUGACCUACCCCUGGAUCCGGGAUAACACUUCGAAAGGGGUGCUAAUACCGGAUACGACCCUUAGGGGAGAAAGCCGGCCUCUCGAAGAAGCUGGUGUUCGGGGAUGGGCCCGCGUCCUAUCAGCUGGUUGGUAGGGUAACGGCCUACCAAGGCGACGACGGGUAGCUGGUCUGAGAGGAUGAUCAGCCACACUGGCACUGGAACACGGGCCAGACUCCUACGGGAGGCAGCAGUGAGGAAUUUUGCGCAAUGGCCGCAAGGCUGACGCAGCAACGCCGCGUGGGUGAUGAAGGCCUUCGGGUCGUAAAGCCCUGUCAGGUGGGAAGAAAGGCAUGGUGGCGAAGAGCCUCUGUGUUUGACGGUACCACCAGAGGAAGCACCGGCUAACUCCGUGCCAGCCGCCGCGGUAAUAC